Molecule: ribosomal RNA, 253 nt
Filed under: uncultured bacterium
Lineage: Bacteria
Description: partial 16S ribosomal RNA
Rfam family: Bacterial small subunit ribosomal RNA
Source: RNAcentral
GACAGAGGGUGCGAACGUUGUUCGGAAUUACUGGGCGUAAAGCGCGUGUAGGCGGCUCGUUACGUCGGAUGUGAAAGCCCUGGGCUCAACCUAGGAAGUGCAUUCGAAACUGCUGAGCUUGAGUUCUGGAGAGGAAGGCGGAAUUCUCGGUGUAGAGGUGAAAUUCGUAGAUAUCGAGAGGAACACCGGUGGCGAAGGCGGCCUUCUGGACAGCAACUGACGCUGAGACGCGAAAGCGUGGGGAGCAAACAGG